GAUGAACGCUGGCGGCGUGCCUAAUACAUGCAAGUCGAGCGAACAGACCAGGAGCUUGCUCCUCUGACGUUAGCGGCGGACGGGUGCGUCACACGUGGAUAACCUACCUAUAAGACUGGGGUACCUUCGGGGGACCGGAGCUACUACCGGAUAAUAUAUUGAACCGCAUGGUUCAAUCGUGAAAGUCGGUUUUGCUGUCACUUAUAGAUGGAUCCGCGCCGCAUUCGCUAGUUGGGAAGGUAACGGCUUACCAAGGCAACGAUGCGUAGCCGACCUGAGAGGGUGAUCGGCCACACUGGAACUGAGACACGGUCCAGACUCCUACGGGAGGCAGCAGUAGGGAAUCUUCCGCAAUGGGCGAAAGCGGGACGGAGCAACGCCGCGGGAGUGAUGAAGGACUUCGGAUCGGAAAGCUCUGUUAGUAGUAAAGAACAAAUGUGUAAGUAACUAUGCACGUCUUGACGGUACCGGAACAGAAAGCCACGGCUAACUACGUG
RNAcentral lists this ribosomal RNA (497 nucleotides) under uncultured bacterium. Its description in RNAcentral is "partial 16S ribosomal RNA". It matches the Rfam family "Bacterial small subunit ribosomal RNA", at positions 28 to 507 of the family's 1533-position model. The record is from RNAcentral.